Molecule: long non-coding RNA, 438 nt
Filed under: Mytilus galloprovincialis (Mediterranean mussel)
Lineage: Eukaryota; Metazoa; Mollusca; Bivalvia; Mytilida; Mytilidae
Source: RNAcentral
CUCCGGUCUUCCGUUUUGAGUUCACUGACCUAUGACAUUGAAAUUGAGAUCAAGGUCGAAGGUCAAGGUCAUGUUAUAAAUUUUGAAUUUUACUUGUUAUCGUUAUUCAAACGAAACUGUUACAGUUAAUGAUAUGAUUUGUUUGCCAAAUUACUGUUUACAAAAAGGCGCAACUUCAACCUAUUUCAGUCGAAGUGUUUUGGUUAACCCUUAUAGGAGUUUUCUCCCCUUAUGUAUUUGAAAUCAGUAUUUCUCCACAACCAUAAAAAUGAUUGACCUGGGGUCUUUUGAUUUGAGAUCACUGACCUAUGACCUUGAAAUUGAGGUCAAGGUCAAAGGUCAAUUUGACGUUCUAGAUUUUGACAUUUGCUAAAAAUUAUUUUCUGUUCAUACUAAAACAAUUAAGUCUUCUGCAUAUACCUAUAAAUCUUUUUUUUU